RNAcentral lists this ribosomal RNA (226 nucleotides) under uncultured bacterium. Its description in RNAcentral is "partial 16S ribosomal RNA". It matches the Rfam family "Bacterial small subunit ribosomal RNA", at positions 524 to 751 of the family's 1533-position model. The record is from RNAcentral.
UACAGAGGGUGCGAGCGUUAAUCGGAAUUACUGGCGUACAGCGCGCGCAGGCGGUUGCUGACGUGCCGUGUGACAAGCGGGGGCUCAACCCCCGAGGGCCACGGUAAACGGGGCGACUGGAGGUAGGGAGAGGGAUGUGGAAUGCCCGGUGGAGCGGUGAAAUGCGUAGAUAUCAGGAGGAAUACGAUGGCGAAGGCAGGUCUCUGGGCUGACACUGACGCUCAUG